GGGGGAUAUUGCGCAAUGGGGGCAACCCUGACGCAGCAACGCCGCGUGAAGGAUGAAGGUUUUCGGAUUGUAAACUUCUUUUAUUAAGGACGAAAAUUGACGGUACUUAAUGAAUAAGCUCCGGCUAACUACGUGCCAGCAGCCGCGGUAAUACGUAGGGAGCAAGCGUUGUCCGGAUUUACUGGGUGUAAAGGGUGCGUAGGCGGCUUUGCAAGUCAGAUGUGAAAUCUAUGGGCUCAACCCAUAAACUGCAUUUGAAACUGUAGAGCUUGAGUGAAGUAGAGGCAGGCGGAAUUCCCCGUGUAGCGGUGAAAUGCGUAGAGAUGGGGAGGAACACCAGUGGCGAAGGCGGCCUGCUGGGCUUUAACUGACGCUGAGGCACGAAAGCGUGGGUAGCAAACAGGAUUAGAUACCCUGGUAGUCCACACCGUAAACGAUGAUUACUAGGUGUUGGAGGAUUGACCCCUUCAGUGCCGCAGUUAACACAAUAAGUAAUCCACCUGGGGAGUACGACCGCAAGGUUGAAACUCAAAGGAAUUGACGGGGGCCCGCACAAGCAGUGGAGUAUGUGGUUUAAUUCGACGCAACGCGAAGAACCUUACCAAGUCUUGACAUCCCUUGACGAACAUAGAAAUAUGUUUUCUCUUCGGAGCAAGGAGACAGGUGGUGCAUGGUUGUCGUCAGCUCGUGUCGUGAGAUGUUGGGUUAAGUCCCGCAACGAGCGCAACCCUUACGGUUAGUUGAUACGCAAGAUCACUCUAGCCGGACUGCCGUUGACAAAACGGAGGAAGGUGGGGACGACGUCAAAUCAUCAUGCCCCUUAUGACCUGGGCUACACACGUACUACAAUGGCAGUCAUACAGAGGGAAGCAAAACCGCGAGGUGGAGCAAAUCCCUAAAAGCUGUCCCAGUUCAGAUUGCAGGCUGCAACCCGCCUGCAUGAAGUCGGAAUUGCUAGUAAUCGCGGAUCAGCAUGCCGCGGUGAAUACGUUCCCG
This 996-nucleotide ribosomal RNA is filed under the name uncultured bacterium. RNAcentral describes it as "bacterial SSU rRNA". It matches the Rfam family "Bacterial small subunit ribosomal RNA", at positions 356 to 1376 of the family's 1533-position model. The record is from RNAcentral.